GAUAGAAAUGGUUAUGUUCUUGAUGAACAUAAAGACAUAUGAGUUAAUAUGACUUUAGUAUGUGCUAUUUCUUAUUAGUUAUAUAAUUAUUCUAUUAUAUUUCUGUGCCAGUUGAGACGGUAAUACAGGUAGAAUUUCUUCCUUUUUAAAGGAAGAAAAAUGUGUUUUUUCUCUAGCUUUUAAAAAGAAAAUCAAGUAGUUUAUGAUGUACCAUAAAGAAAUGUUUUCCUUUAAUUAAUCAUUAUCUUUUUCAGUCAACAAGAUGUUAUUUGGUUCUAUGGUGAUCCAAUAGAGCGUGCUGUAACUAGCUUAUUAUUUUAGUAAAGAGCUGCAUGACCAUUCUGUGCUUAAGAUUUUAGUCUGAUUUGGUGACAUGGCUGAAUAUAAGUUUACACCAUGGAUCAUUAUUUAUUGUAAAAGGGUAAUUGGUAAUUGAUAAGUAGUUUUUCUUAGUGUAAAGUUUUAUGAACAUAACUUUUAGACAUUAGUCUAAAAGUUAUGUUCAUAAAACUUUAUAUGUUUCUGAGUAUGGAAAUAAGUGUUUAUAUAAGGUUUUAUUUAUUAUUUUCCCUAGUGAAUUAGGAGCUAAUAAGAAAAUUUCAGAUAAAUUACUUUGUGAUUUAUGUUUCUGAUUUCCUGAAAGUGAAACUAUAAGCUUGUGAUAAAUAUGUUUCUAUAUUUGGAAGUUUGUCUUCUUAUGAUGAUUAAGCUUGAAAGGAAAUACUUUUUCACGUGUUCAGGUUCCUUAUGAAAAAAAGAAUAUCUUUUUGUUUUGAUAGUGAUAGAUAAUAAGUUAAUAUUCAUAUUCUUUUUUCUUCUUGUACUGGUUCCGUAAGGGAAAAAGUAGAAUGGAAGAAGUCCUGAGGAAUAAUGUGUUUGUUAUGUUAACUUUAUAGAUGUUAUGCCAAUUGAUUUGUCGUAAUAGGUAUGUUAACAUAACUGUGGUUUGUUUUCCUAUAAGUAGUAAGGUAUGCUUUUUAGUAUAGUAAAGGUUAGCAUGAGUAAGUAUGAUUAAAAGUUUAUAUUUUAUAUUUUUAUUGGAAAUUAAAAUUAUUUAUCUUUUAUUUCUAUAUUUAAAUAAGUAUAAUUGAUGAAUUCGGCAAGAUAAGGUACACCUGUUUUCUAAAAACAUAGAUGCCAUAAGAAUUGGUAUCGUUUACUGCCAAAGGUUUUUCUACUGGCAGCGGUAUAUUGACCGUAAUAAGGUACCGUAAUUGAUAGUUGUUUGAUUGACAACCAGGGAAGUGAAGAUGAUACCUUUCCUGUAUGAAUUAUACCUGUCUGAAAUUAUGUUGAUGAUGAACAUAUCAUCUUUAAUGAAAGGGAGGAAAAGACCCAGGAUUCUUGAAUGAUUUUUGUUAUGUAUAUUUGCAUAUGAUCAUUUUACUUGGGGUAAGGUUUUUACAAUGUAUGUAAAAGUUACUCUUAUUUUGUUUUUUGAUAACAAAAGAUAUCCUGGGGUAAUGGGGCAAGAUUUCUGCUACCUCGAUGUUGGGUCCUUUAUCUUUCAUCAUAAGUGUGAUGAUAAGAGAGACUGUUCUUCUCUUGAAAGAAGACGUGACCUGAGUUUAAAACGUUGAAAGACAGUUUGGGUUCUAUCUUUUUAUAAAGUAUGUUUAGGUUUACAGUUUCUACUUUCGGUACGAAAGGAUGUUGUAGAAUA
This 1663-nucleotide ribosomal RNA is filed under the name Kudoa iwatai. RNAcentral describes it as "partial small subunit ribosomal RNA, and large subunit ribosomal RNA". The record is from RNAcentral. Lineage: Eukaryota; Metazoa; Cnidaria; Myxozoa; Multivalvulida; Kudoidae.